RNAcentral lists this unclassified non-coding RNA (391 nucleotides) under soil metagenome. Its description in RNAcentral is "partial contains 5.8S ribosomal RNA, internal transcribed spacer 2, and large subunit ribosomal RNA". The stretch from base 1 to 122 matches the Rfam family "5.8S ribosomal RNA", at positions 35 to 154 of the family's 154-position model. The record is from RNAcentral.
GAUGAAGAACGUAGCGAAAUGCGAUACUUGGUGUGAAUUGCAGAAUCCCGUGAACCAUCGAGUCUUUGAACGCAAGUUGCGCCCGAAGCCAUUAGGCCGAGGGCACGCCUGCCUGGGUGUCACACGUCGUUGCCCCCCCAUCUACUCCUUCGGGAUUGCGGGGGGCGGAUGAUGGCCUCCCGUGCGCCUCGUCGCGCGGUUGGCAUAAAUGCCAAGUCCUCGGCGACGCACGCCACGACAAUCGGUGGUUGCGAAACCUCGGUUGCCCGUCGUGUGCGGUCGUCGCGCAUCGAGGGCUCGAAAAAAUUGCCGGGCUCCGGCUCGGCUUUCAACGCGACCCCAGGUCAGGCGGGGUUACACGCUGAAUUUAAGCAUAUCAAUAAGCGGAGGA